Molecule: transfer RNA, 72 nt
Filed under: Camelus bactrianus (Bactrian camel)
Lineage: Eukaryota; Metazoa; Chordata; Mammalia; Artiodactyla; Camelidae
Also listed under: 2 other names
Rfam family: tRNA
About the family: Transfer RNA (tRNA) molecules are approximately 80 nucleotides in length.
Source: Rfam by way of RNAcentral
GAGAGUAUAGCUCAAUGUUAGAGCAUGUGCUUCACAUGCACGAGGUCCUGGGUUCAACCCCUAGUGCCUCCA